UCUUGGUCAAUUAGAGGAAGUAAAAGUCGUAACAAGGUCUCCGUAGGUGAACCUGCGGAGGGAUCAUUACAAG
RNAcentral lists this ribosomal RNA (73 nucleotides) under Cladosporium cladosporioides. RNAcentral describes it as "partial 18S ribosomal RNA". It matches the Rfam family "Eukaryotic small subunit ribosomal RNA", at positions 1763 to 1831 of the family's 1831-position model. The record is from RNAcentral. Lineage: Eukaryota; Fungi; Ascomycota; Dothideomycetes; Cladosporiales; Cladosporiaceae.